GCUGGGUGUGGUGACGCACACCUGUCAUCCCAGCAACUAGGGAGGCUGAGGCAGGAGGAUCCAGAGUUCAAAGCGAGCCUCAGCAACUUAGUGAGGCCUAAGCAACUCAGUGAGACCCUGUCUCUA
RNAcentral lists this small RNA (126 nucleotides) under Marmota monax (woodchuck). The record is from RNAcentral. Lineage: Eukaryota; Metazoa; Chordata; Mammalia; Rodentia; Sciuridae.